GACGAACGCUGGCGGCGUGCCUAAUACAUGCAAGUUGAGCGCUGAAGGUUGGUACUUGUACCAACUGGAUGAGCAGCGAACGGGUGAGUAACGCGUGGGGAAUCUGCCUUUGAGCGGGGGACAACAUUUGGAAACGAAUGCUAAUACCGCAUAAAAACUUUAAACACAAGUUUUAAGUUUGAAAGAUGCAAUUGCAUCACUCAAAGAUGAUCCCGCGUUGUAUUAGCUAGUUGGUGAGGUAAAGGCUCACCAAGGCGAUGAUACAUAGCCGACCUGAGAGGGUGAUCGGCCACAAUGAGACUGAGACACGGCCCAAACUCCUACGGGAGGCAGCAGUAGGGAAUCUUCGGCAAUGGACGAAAGUCUGACCGAGCAACGCCGCGUGAGUGAAGAAGGUUUUCGGAUCGGAAAACUCUGUUGGUAGAGAAGAACGUUGGUGAGAGUGGAAAGCUCAUCAAGUGACGGUAACUACCCAGAAAGGGACGGCUAACUACGUG
This 497-nucleotide ribosomal RNA is filed under the name uncultured bacterium. Its description in RNAcentral is "partial 16S ribosomal RNA". It matches the Rfam family "Bacterial small subunit ribosomal RNA", at positions 28 to 507 of the family's 1533-position model. The record is from RNAcentral.